This 1145-nucleotide ribosomal RNA is filed under the name uncultured Clostridia bacterium. Its description in RNAcentral is "bacterial SSU rRNA". It matches the Rfam family "Bacterial small subunit ribosomal RNA", at positions 8 to 1172 of the family's 1533-position model. Lineage: Bacteria; Bacillati; Bacillota; Clostridia. The record is from RNAcentral.
GAGAGUUUGAUCCUGGCUCAGGACGAACGCUGGCGGCGCGCCUACACAUGCAAGUCGAACGGAGCUGAGAGGAGCUUGCUUUUCUUAGCUUAGUGGCGAACGGGUGAGUAACGCGUGAGUAACCUGCCUUGGAGUGGGGGACAACAGUUGGAAACGACUGCUAAUACCGCAUAAGCCCACGAUCCGGCAUCGGAUUGAGGGAAAAGGAUUUAUUCGCUUCAGGAUGGACUCGCGUCCAAUUAGCUAGUUGGUGAGGUAACGGCCCACCAAGGCGACGAUUGGUAGCCGGACUGAGAGGUUGAACGGCCACAUUGGGACUGAGACACGGCCCAGACUCCUACGGGAGGCAGCAGUGGGGGAUAUUGCACAAUGGGGGAAACCCUGAUGCAGCGACGCCGCGUGGAGGAAGAAGGUUUUCGGAUUGUAAACUCCUGUCGUUAGGGACGAUAAUGACGGUACCUAACAAGAAAGCACCGGCUAACUACGUGCCAGCAGCCGCGGUAAAACGUAGGGUGCAAGCGUUGUCCGGAAUUACUGGGUGUAAAGGGAGCGCAGGCGGACCGGCAAGUUGGAAGUGAAAACUAUGGGCUCAACCCAUAAAUUGCUUUCAAAACUGCUGGCCUUGAGUAGUGCAGAGGUAGGUGGAAUUCCCGGUGUAGCGGUGGAAUGCGUAGAUAUCGGGAGGAACACCAGUGGCGAAGGCGACCUACUGGGCACCAACUGACGCUGAGGCUCGAAAGCAUGGGUAGCAAACAGGAUUAGAUACCCUGGUAGUCCAUGCCGUAAACGAUGAUUACUAGGUGUUGGAGGAUUGACCCCUUCAGUGCCGCAGUUAACACAAUAAGUAAUCCACCUGGGGAGUACGACCGCAAGGUUGAAACUCAAAGGAAUUGACGGGGGCCCGCACAAGCAGUGGAGUAUGUGGUUUAAUUCGAAGCAACGCGAAGAACCUUACCAGGUCUUGACAUCCGAUGCAUAGUGCAGAGAUGCAUGAAGUCCUUCGGGACAUCGAGACAGGUGGUGCAUGGUUGUCGUCAGCUCGUGUCGUGAGAUGUUGGGUUAAGACCCGCAACGAGCGCAACCCUUAUUGCCAGUUACUACGAAAGAGGACUCUGGCGAGACUGCCGUUGACAAAACGGAGGAAG